Coturnix japonica (Japanese quail) is the source of this 1725-nucleotide RNA transcript. It is a transcript of the gene named EMI domain containing 1, with no coding region annotated. The record is from RefSeq and is a predicted model, not a curated record. NCBI's taxonomy places the organism in Eukaryota, Metazoa, Chordata, Aves, Galliformes, Phasianidae.
UCCCCUUCGCUCCUCCCCGCUCACGGAGCGCGGCCCCCGGUGCCCCGCUGAGCCGAGUGGAGCCGCGCGGAGCGGAACGGAGCAUGGAGGGCCUCUCCCGGGGGGGGCACCGCUGCCCGCCCCUACCCCUGGCGAUGGGGCUGUGCUGCUGCCUCCUGCUGCCGCCCGCUGCCGGCUCCUGGAGCGUGCAGCCCCGCAGCAAUUGGUGCUCCUACAUGGUGACAAGGACGGUGACGUGCCUGGUGCAGAACGGCACCUCCCUGCAGCGUGUCUUCCAGGGCUGCCGCUGGCCACCGGGCUGCGGUGGGGGCAGCAGCUACCGCACCGUCGUCCGGCCCGCGUACCGGGUGGCCUACAGGACACUGACGGCGCUGGAGUGGAAGUGCUGCCCUGGGCACAGCGGGGCCAACUGCGAGGAAGACCCCCACACCUUCCUCGCUCUGCGUGAUGCUGCACGCCCCAGCACCGCCCCACGUCGCUCUCCCCUGCGCCCCACGGCUUUCUCAGGGUGCCUGAACUGCAGUCACGUCGGGGAGCUGUCAGCACGCCUGGCCACCCUCGAGGCACAGGUGGCCCGGCUCUCAGUGGCAGAAGCCCCCACGUCCCCAACACCCAAAGGUGACAGCUUGGGUAGGAGUCCUGACACUGGGCAGCUCUGGGGGUCCCCAGCCGCACAGGGGAGCCCAGGGGAUGAAGGCAGACCUGGUUCACGGGGACCCCCCGGCCCCUCUGGUCCCAAGGGUGAUGCAGGAGGACGGGGACCCUCAGGCAUUCCUGGAGUGAAGGGUCCAUUGGGACCCCCAGGUCCCCCAGGUCCUCCCGGUCCCCCUGGCCAUGACGGAGCCAGAGGUCUCCCUGGAGAAAAGGGAUUGCCCGGCCCCCCCGGUCCCCCUGGGCCUCCUGCUCCUGUGGGGCCAGCCGUACCCUGGCUGACUGAUCCGAGGGACCCGCUCCUCUCCAACACCUUCACUGAAGCAGCUGGGGGCAUUGUGGGGCCCGCUGGCCCCCCUGGACCCAUGGGGCCAAUGGGACCCCCUGGCCCCCCAGGACCCAUAGGUCUGCCCGGCCCCCCAGGGCCUGAUGGGAGAGCUGGGGCACCUGGAGCUGCCGGUCCCCGGGGAGACAAAGGCGACAGGGGCCCCAAGGGAGAGCCAGGCAGCCGUGGGCAGGAUGGAGCACAGGGCGAGCCGGGCCCCAAGGGCGAGCCGGGCGACAAGGGCACAUGGGGGGAGGGUUUACACCAGCUCCGCGAGGCUUUGAAGAUUUUAGCAGAGAGGGUUUUAAUCUUGGAAACAAUGAUUGGGCUCUAUGGCCAGUAGCUUCCAAGCCCUGCUGCGGCAGCAGGCCCGCCUGGAGGUCCUGGCUAGAAGGGUCACCCUCCUGGAAGCCAUCAUCUGGCCAGAACCAGAACCCGGCUCAGGCAGCGGCCCCGGGGGCCCACCAGCACCCAGCCCCCCCCGUGCCAAGCGUCGCCGCUCACCCCCCACCCACCAGGCUCUCCCUGGCCAGCCCUAAGAGUGCAGCCCCGCUGUGUCCCCGCUGUGUACAUGGAGGUCCUGGUGCUACCCGGUGCCAAUGCACCGGUCGGACCCCCCCAGCUUUUGGCCCUGCUGCUCUGCACCCCCGUGCUGGGGGGCACAGGGCCCCCACGGCCACCCCGGUGCUCGGGGGGCUGCAUCCCGUGUGCCGUCCUGGCACUGCCUGGGCAUUAAAGGUGUCCCCAGA